UCCGUAGGGGUGUCCUGCGGAGGGAUCAUUACACAACAAAAAUAUGAGGGUGUGGUUUGCUGGCAACAGCGUCCGCCCCAAGUAUUUUUCACCCAUGUCUUUUGCGCACUUUUUGUUUCCUGGGCGAGUUCGCUCGCCACCAGGACCCAACCAUAAACCUUUUUUUAUGCAGUUGCAAUCAGCGUCAGUAUAAUAAUUCAAUUUAUUAAAACUUUCAACAACGGAUCUCUUGGUUCUGGCAUCGAUGAAGAACGCAGCGAAAUGCGAUACGUAGUGUGAAUUGCAGAAUUCAGUGAAUCAUCGAAUCUUUGAACGCACAUUGCGCCCUUUGGUAUUCCAAAGGGCAUGCCUGUUCGAGCGUCAUUUGUACCCUCAAGCUUUGCUUGGUGUUGGGCGUCUUUUUGUCUCUCCCCUUGUUGGGGGAGACUCGCCUUAAAACGAUUGGCAGCCGACCUACUGGUUUUCGGAGCGCAGCACAAAUUUGCGCCUUCCAAUCCACGGGGCGGCAUCCAGCAAGCCUUUGUUUUCUAUAACAAAUCCACAUUUUGACCUCGGAUCAGGUAGGGAUACCCGCUGAACUUAAGCAUAUCAAUAA
This 595-nucleotide ribosomal RNA is filed under the name Exserohilum rostratum. Its description in RNAcentral is "eukaryotic LSU rRNA". The stretch from base 210 to 363 matches the Rfam family "5.8S ribosomal RNA". The record is from RNAcentral. Lineage: Eukaryota; Fungi; Ascomycota; Dothideomycetes; Pleosporales; Pleosporaceae.